This is a long non-coding RNA of Octodon degus (degu), 108 nucleotides long. RefSeq lists it as uncharacterized. NCBI's taxonomy places the organism in Eukaryota, Metazoa, Chordata, Mammalia, Rodentia, Octodontidae. The transcript has 3 exons. The record is from RefSeq and is a predicted model, not a curated record.
UCACAAUCAAUAAUCAGAAAAUAUUUUGUUUACUGUAUCCCUCUUAGUUUAAUUAAACUUCAAAUUUUGCUUCACAUAGUCUGGAAAAAAACAUAAGUUGUGCUGUCU